Long non-coding RNA from Aquila chrysaetos chrysaetos, 1052 nucleotides. RefSeq lists it as uncharacterized. The record is from RefSeq and is a predicted model, not a curated record. The transcript has 3 exons. Lineage: Eukaryota; Metazoa; Chordata; Aves; Accipitriformes; Accipitridae.
GAGAACACGUAAAGCAGAGGAUAAUGGGAGCGAGUCCAGCAGAAGUUAGCCAGAAAAAUCCCAUCUCAGCAGCAGUUGUUGUCAUCUAGGCAUUGCUUUUCAGGACACAGCUGAGAGGCAUUGGGAAUUACAGAUAAGCCCCAGCACGGGGAGCAUGUCUUCUGCCAGCCCUGUAACAUGGUGGGAGAGGCAGAUGAAUGCAGAGGUGUGGAUUUCACACCCUCUGUAGAAGGACUGAGGCAUCCCCAGCUCCAGAGGAGGGAGGCGAGCCCUGAGCACUUGGGGACGUGGCAGGCUGACCAGAAGCCCUCUGAGGACGUGGGGCUGCCAGAAGCAGCACAGAGGGACCACCGAGGUGCCUUGCUGGUACGGGGGAGUGCCUGGGGCAGCCUGAAAGUUAUAACUCAGAAGCACAUCUGCACAGGUAAUUCGGAGCAGCCUUUUGGCCAUCUCAGAGCAGGGCUGUAAAUCCCCUCAGCCUGCAGAGCCCCAGGGUAAGAGAAGGUGGAGGAAGAAAUGGAGCAGCAUCCUCCCCAGAGCUUCUUUCUCCUCGGCGGCUGGCUCUGCGCUGCCAACAAGGACCGUAUGACUUGCACGCCUGGAGGAGACAACGUGGGUCCUUCCCUGGUUUGAGUCCGAGCCACCGCUGCUCUGCACUAACUUUUGGAAGGAUGAUGCGCUCCUUGCUGCUCUGGUCUGCACUCAGACCACGGCUAUGCUCAGCAUACAGUCGCGCAGGAGUGCUAGGCUGGCAGUGUCCAGACACAAUCCUGUGGGUAUGUCGUACGUCCGUGCCCAUUCAAACCCUUUCUUUGCAACGCUUGCUGAAGCUGAUUAAAGUACGAGAGCCUCCGUGUCCUCUGGUGUUUACACAGAGUAAGCAGCAAUACAGACAACACUUGCUAGGACUUCAGUCUAAUUUUCUGGGAUCUAACAAACUUCAUCCGCAGUAAAAGUAAACCUGCAGGUUUAUGCAGGUUCUUUCUGAAACUGUAGGGGAACUACAUCUUGUCCUUCCCGUUGCAGUAAGCAGCCAUCCCCAGCUUAUUUAA